Molecule: long non-coding RNA, 732 nt
Filed under: Mus spicilegus (steppe mouse)
Lineage: Eukaryota; Metazoa; Chordata; Mammalia; Rodentia; Muridae
Description: lncRNA (ENSMSIG00000011821.1)
Source: RNAcentral
UCUUCCAUGCAGUGAGCACCCCAUCUUCUUGACUCUCCUGGGCCAGUCCUAUGCUCAGCUUAGAAGCUGAAGCCUGCAAUGGCAGCUCUAACCGAGUUCCAGCUCCCGGGUUUUAAUUCAGGUCUUCUUGGUUAUAAGUUUUUCAAUGUUGCGUGCUUAAAAACAUUCUGCAAAACUUUGAAGUAGCGUCUCUCAUACAAGAGAACAUACAACAAUACUAAGAACUUGUCAGACGACCCUGCGUGCUUUCAAAGGUAUGGGGAAUGACUUUCUUUUACAGGUAAAAUGUCUCCUCCAUGUGGUUUGAGAUCUUAAGGAAGCUCUUAAAUAUUGCCACGAUGAUGUGAAAUGAGACGACCUUCCCAGUACCUGUCCUCCGCUGUUUUCUGCCUAAAUGAUGUUCACCCUGGUGGCAGGCUCCAAAUCAAGACUCUCCAGCUACUUCUGCUGCUUUGUGCAUUAUACCGUUUCGCGUUCCCUCACCAGCUGGAAGCAGCACGGAAAUGCACGAGGAGCAGAGGAAGGAUGUGGUCCAUCCGGGACAGGCUGAGCUCUUAUGCUGAAGAUCGCCACCCAGUGGGGACACGGGAAAUUCCAGCCCAGGGUGCCCAGCUGUGACCCAAUGAGGAAAAGCCUGUGGAUGGUGACAGAAAGCUGACUAACAUAAGAGUCACUGAAGACUUUCAUCUUUUCUCUAAUAAAAUGGAGUCAGACAUUGUGCUGGCUGGUUUU